Molecule: ribosomal RNA, 253 nt
Filed under: uncultured bacterium
Lineage: Bacteria
Description: partial 16S ribosomal RNA
Rfam family: Bacterial small subunit ribosomal RNA
Source: RNAcentral
UACGGGGGGGGCAAGCGUUGUUCGGAAUUACUGGGCGUAAAGGGCUCGUAGGCGGCCAACUAAGUCGGACGUGAAAUCCCCAGGCUCAACCUGGGAACUGCGUCUGAUACUGGAUGGCUUGAAUCCGGGAGAGGGAUGCAGAAUUCCAGGUGUAGCGGUGAAAUGCGUAGAUAUCUGGAGGAACACCGGUGGCGAAGGCGGUUCUCUGGGAAUGACCUGACGCUGAGGAGCGAAAGUGUGGGGAGCGAACAGG